GAUGAACGCUAGCGAUAGGCCUAACACAUGCAAGUCGAGGGGCAUCACAUGAAGUAGCAAUACGGAUGGUGGCGACCGGCGCACGGGUGAGUAACACGUAUGCAACCUGCCUUCAACAAGGGGAUAACCCGUUGAAAGACGGACUAAUACCCUAUAACACAGGGGUCCCGCAUGGGAAUAUUUGUUAAAGGACAACCGGUUGAAGAUGGGCAUGCGUUCCAUUAGCUAGUUGGCGGGGUAACGGCCCACCAAGGCAACGAUGGAUAGGGGAACUGAGAGGUUUAUCCCCCACACUGGUACUGAGACACGGACCAGACUCCUACGGGAGGCAGCAGUGAGGAAUAUUGGUCAAUGGACGCAAGUCUGAACCAGCCACGUCGCGUGAAGGAAGACGGCCCUACGGGUUGUAAACUUCUUUUAUACGGGAAUAAAGUGCCCCACGCGUGGGGUUUUGCAUGUACCGUAU
Molecule: ribosomal RNA, 466 nt
Filed under: uncultured bacterium
Lineage: Bacteria
Description: bacterial SSU rRNA
Rfam family: Bacterial small subunit ribosomal RNA
Source: RNAcentral